RNAcentral lists this unclassified non-coding RNA (339 nucleotides) under uncultured fungus. Its description in RNAcentral is "partial contains 5.8S ribosomal RNA and internal transcribed spacer 2". The stretch from base 1 to 133 matches the Rfam family "5.8S ribosomal RNA", at positions 22 to 154 of the family's 154-position model. The record is from RNAcentral. Lineage: Eukaryota; Fungi.
UGGUUCUGGCAUCGAUGAAGAACGCAGCGAAAUGCGAUAAGUAAUGUGAAUUGCAGAAUUCAGUGAAUCAUCGAAUCUUUGAACGCACAUUGCGCCCUCUGGUAUUCCGGAGGGCAUGCCUGUUCGAGCGUCAUUACACCUCUCAAGCUUAGCUUGGUAAUUAGAAUCUUAAAUCUCUUUCAUCGGAGAAUUCUGAAAAUCAGUGGCGAAGAAAUUAAAACUCUUAGCGCAGUAAAUUUUCUCGUUAAAAGAUUUUUUAAUUUUUCCAGCCAAAAUAUGUCUAUUUUUUAAUAGCCUAUUUUUCUGAUUGACCUCGGAUCAGGUAGGGAUACCCGCUGA